AGGAGGGCCGGGUGGUGGUGUUGAAAGCGGGUCUUGCGGUAGUAGUGGUGGUGGUGGUAGGGGGGUGAACACAGUUGCCGUCGGGGUCCUCGUAGCUGCCGGUGACGCAAGGCGUGACGGCCUCGUGGUCGCAGGUCAGCUUGCCUUGGUCCCAGAUGGUGCCUCUGGCACAGGGCAUCUCCUGCGGGCCGUAUGGGGCACACUGGAUGAACUUCCUGCAGUCUGUUGGGUGAGGGAAGUAUUGCUGGCCGCUGGAGCAGUCAACGCAGGGGAAGGAGGGCCGGGUGGUGGUGUUGAAAGCGGGUCUUGCGGUAGUAGUGGUGGUGGUGGUAGGGG
This is a long non-coding RNA of Eriocheir sinensis (Chinese mitten crab), 336 nucleotides long. RefSeq lists it as uncharacterized. The record is from RefSeq and is a predicted model, not a curated record. The transcript is spliced from 2 exons. NCBI's taxonomy places the organism in Eukaryota, Metazoa, Arthropoda, Malacostraca, Decapoda, Varunidae.